UACGAAGGGUGCAAGCGUUACUCGGAAUUACUGGGCGUAAAGCGUGCGUAGGUGGUGAGUUAAGUCUGAUGUGAAAGCCCUGGGCUCAACCUGGGAAUGGCAUUGGAAACUGGCGACCUAGAGUGCGGUAGAGGGUAGUGGAAUUCCCGGUGUAGCAGUGAAAUGCGUAGAGAUCGGGAGGAACAUCCGUGGCGAAGGCGACUACCUGGACCAGCACUGACACUGAGGCACGAAAGCGUGGGGAGCAAACAGG
Molecule: ribosomal RNA, 253 nt
Filed under: uncultured bacterium
Lineage: Bacteria
Description: partial 16S ribosomal RNA
Rfam family: Bacterial small subunit ribosomal RNA
Source: RNAcentral